Molecule: ribosomal RNA, 253 nt
Filed under: uncultured bacterium
Lineage: Bacteria
Description: partial 16S ribosomal RNA
Rfam family: Bacterial small subunit ribosomal RNA
Source: RNAcentral
UACGUAGGGGGCUAGCGUUGUCCGGAAUCAUUGGGCGUAAAGCGCGUGUAGGCGGCCCGGUAAGUCCGCUGUGAAAGUCGGGGGCUCAACCCUCGAAAGCCGGUGGAUACUGUCGGGCUAGAGUACGGAAGAGGCGAGUGGAAUUCCUGGUGCAGCGGUGAAAUGCGCAGAUAUCAGGAGGAACACCCAUUGCGAAGGCAGCUCGCUGGGACGUUACUGACGCUGAGACGCGAAAGCGUGGGGAGCAAACAGG